Molecule: ribosomal RNA, 432 nt
Filed under: uncultured bacterium
Lineage: Bacteria
Description: partial 16S ribosomal RNA
Rfam family: Bacterial small subunit ribosomal RNA
Source: RNAcentral
CCUACGGGAGGCUGCAGUGGGGAAUAUUGGGCAAUGGACGAAAGUCUGACCCAGCUAUGCCGCGUGAAUGAUGAAGGCCUUAGGGUCGUAAAGUUCUUUUACCGGGGAGGCGGUACCCGGAGAAAAAGCUCCGGCUAACUUCGUGCCAGCAGCCGCGGUAAUACGAAGGGAGCAAGCGUUGCUCGGAUUUAUUGGGCGUAAAGGGUGUGUAGGCGGUUUGAUAAGUUAGAUGUGAAAGCCCAGGGCUUAACCCUGGAAUUGCAUUUAAGACUGUCAGACUUGAAGAUUGGAGAGGUUAGCAGAAUUCCCAGUGUAGAGGUGAAAUUCGUAGAUAUUGGGAAGAAUACCAAUGGCGUAGGCAGCUAACUGGCCAAACUUGACGCUGAGGCACGAAAGCGUGGGGAGCAAACAGGAUUAGAUACCCUUGUAGUC